Molecule: long non-coding RNA, 8750 nt
Filed under: Nicotiana benthamiana
Lineage: Eukaryota; Viridiplantae; Streptophyta; Magnoliopsida; Solanales; Solanaceae
Description: long non-coding RNA (NBEN_LNC008834)
Source: RNAcentral
UCAAUGUGAACUGGAAGUUCAAAAGAUAAUUCAUUUGCAAAGUAUUGCAAAUCAACUUCUAGAUGCAUUUACCAACCUACCAAGGGUUACUAAAUCUCAUAUUUCAGUUGCAAAUGCUCUAAUUCGAGUUGAUGCCCCGUAGGACAAUUGUUAAAGCAAUAUGAGUCUAAGCCACACUUAAAACGUGACAGGCUAAUUGGUUCUAAAGAUAAAAAUCCUCGAAAAAAGAAAGAAAAAAUGAGCAAGAUGGUCAUAAUAUGGGGGUAAUUGCUCAAGAAGAGCCCCGAGACAUAACAAUUGAUAAAACCUCGAAAGAGGUCAAGGUACCUGGAAAUAAUAAAAAUGAAGAGAUCUCAAUAAAUUAUGUCUCAACUGUAAAAAGAUGGAACCAAAAUGAUAUUGUUGUUGAUAACAUUUUUGCUUAUGAAUAUUGCUGCUGAAAUAAUGCAACAAGAUGAUAAUCUCGAACCAAAAUCUAUCGAUGAAUGUAGGCAGAGAAAUUAUUGGCAAAAAUGAAAAACACUAUCCAACUAGAGUUGACUUCACUUAAAAACGUGAAAUAUUUGGACCUAUAGCCCAAACACUUAAAGGUGUAAAGCCAGUGGGGUAUAAAUAGAUUUUUGUGCGAAAAAGAAAUGAAAAAAAUGAGGUUGUAAUAUAUAAAGCACGACAUGUAGCACAAGAAUGUUCGCAACAGCCUGGCAUUAAUUAUAUGAAGACAUAUUCUCCUAUGGUGGAUGCAAUCACAUUCGGGUGUCUUAUCAGUCUAGCAAUUCAUGAAAAACUUGAUAUGCGUCUUAUGGAUGUUGUCACGGCUAAUUUAUAUGGCUCACAGGACAACAAAUUUUUAUGAAAAUCCCUGAAGGAUUCAAAGUACCUGAAAUAUACAAAGAUUCAAGGGAAACUUGUUCGAUAAAGCUUCAGAAAUCCUUGUAUGGAUUGAAGCAAUCAGGGCGCAUGUGGUAUAAUCGCCUCAGCGAAUACCUAUUGAAAGAAGGGUACAAGAAUGACCCAAUUUGUCCUUGUGUCUUUAUAAAAGUAUUUGGAUCUGAAUUUGUCAUAAUAGAUGUGUGUGUUGAUGGCUUGAAUAUCAUUGGAACUCCUGAAGAGCUUCCAAAGGCAGUAGAAUGCUUGAAGAAAGAAUUUGAAAUGACAGAUCUUGGAAAGACUAAAUUUUGUCUAAGCUUACAAAUUGAGCAUUUGAAAAAUAGAGUAUUUGUUCAUCAAUCAACGUACACCGAAAAUAUUUUGAAGCAUUUUUAUAUGAAUAAAGCACAUCCAUUAAGUACCCCGAUGGUUGUGAGAUCGCUUAAUAUAAAUAAAGAUCCAUUUCGUCCUCAUAAAAAUAAUGAAUAGCUUCUAGGUACUGAAAUACCAUAUCUUAGUACAAUUGGAGAAUUAAUGUACCUUGCUAAUAAUUCUACACCAGAUAUAGAUUUUUCUGUAAGCUUGUUAGCAAUAUUUAGUUCUUCUCCAACACAAAGACACUAGAAUAGUAUUAAGCAUCUAUUCAGACAUCUGCGAGGGACCAUUGAUAUGAGAUUAUUUUAUUCAAAAGAAUCUAGAUCACAACUGAUAGGUUAUGCAGAUGCAGGAUUUUGUUUGACCCACAUAAAGAUCGACUCAAACAGGCUAUUUAUUUACAUGUGGUGGCACUGCCAUAUCAUGGCGUUCAACAAAACAAAUUGUGGUUGCCACUUCUUAAAAUCAUGCAGAGAUAACAGCCAUUCAUGAAGCGAGUCGAGAAUGUGUUUGGUUGAAAUCAAUAACUCAACAUAUGUAGGAGCUAUGUGGUUUUUCACGGGGAAAUGAUAUCCCAAUAACAUUAUAUGAAGACAAUACUGCAUGUAUAGCUCAACUAAAAAGGGGAUAUAUUAAAGGAGAUAGAACAAAGCAUAUUUCACAAAAAAAAAUUCACGCAUGAUCUUCAAAAGAAUGGUAAAUUAGAUGUUCAACAAAUUCGUUCAACUGAUAAUUUGGUAGAUUUGUUCACUAAGGCAUUGCCGACAUUAAUGUUUGAGAAGUUAAGAAACACGAUUGGAAUGCGUCGUCUCCGAGAUACCAAAUAAGAUUUUUUCAUCAGGGGGAGAAAUACGCGUAGUACUCUUUCUCCCUUAAUCAAGGUUUUGUCCUAUUUGGAUUUUUCUGGUGAGGUUUGUAAUGAGGCAACUCUUAAAGCGUAUUACAAGAUAUGUGAACUCUUUUUCCUUCACUAAAAUUUUUUCCACUGGAUUUUUCUUAGUAAGGUUUUAAUAAGGUACAUUAUCUGUUAGUGGACAUCCAAGGAGGAGUGUUAUAAAUCUUGCAAAUGGUUUCAUCCACUUACGACGAUGGAUGUCUUCCAUAACAUGUUUUAGAUUGGUUAUGUAUCCAAAACAUAUUUUUAAUUGAUUGUGUAUUCAUAAAGGUUUCGGAUUGGUUUUGUAAUAACGAAAUAUUUCUAUAAAUAGGUUCAUUGAUGAACCUAUUCCAUACUCUCUGAAACAAAGAAAUAAAUCCUCUCUUCUAUUAUUGGUAUUCUGUUCUAUUAUAGUCCUAGUUAAUUAUAUAAUUCUUGCUAUAUUACUUUUAUUUAUAACAUUUAGAAUUUUUUUCAAUGUACUGAAUCUGGAUUAUUGACAUUUUUUAUUGUUUGUUGUAAGGUGAGGUGGUUCUAAUAACUUCACAUACAUUUGCAUGGCGUGAUAUAGCUGGCAGAUAACAGUUUGCAAGAUGACAAUUCAUUUCUCACAAUAGUGCAAAUUAUUUAUUCUGCUUCUAAUACCUGAAAUUCCAUAAUAACAAUUUAAAAAAUAUCUAAUCCAGCAAUAACCCCCUUAUAGAAAAAAAGCUGUGGGGAAGUCGAAGUGUCGAACGUGAUUAUUGUAAGAGGGAAAAGACCUGCUGUUAGACUAUAAUUCAGAAACUUAUGACUCACUACGAUUUUUGUAUUAGUAGCAUUUAGCUGUGUCCCACAUGUUAUAUUAAUCCAUCUUCAAAAGUGGAUAUAUAAAAGAAGAUCAUACUUCUAAUUUCAUGAUUUACUAAUUAUUGGUCAUUGCAGUUCAUUGUGUCAAACAAAUUUGAAUUCAUUGUUGGGUAUGGUUACUAUUGAUUUUACUAAAAAGGUUCUUUAUUGUUAUUGCUCAAAUCCAAAACCUCUAAUUAAGACUGGAAAAUCUCAAUCAUUGCAUUACACCUUGGUGAUAAAUAUUAAUAGAAUUUGGAUGAAUCAAUUAGGUUUUCAUUUUAAUUAUUUUUCUACAUUCUAUACUUGGAUUGUUUGACUUUCCUACAAUUUAUAUCAACUUAUACUCAUAGUAACUUACAUUUAUUAAAUAUUUAAAUUAGUUUUUUUUUUUUUAAAGAAAAGGAACGGAAGAAAGAGAAGAUAUGUAGAACAUGAUAGUUGGAAAAUAAGAAAUACGAACUAUUUGACCAAAAAAGUAUAAAAUCUUUUAUUAAACUAAUUAAUAGGAAAAAAAAGAUAAAUCUUAGCCCAACAUAAUUAACUCUAGAUCCAAAAAUAUUGAAUAUGAAAAUCGAAGAGGCCAAGCCUCUAUAACAUUCCUUAAGAUGAUUAAUAAGCAUCAAAUGUAAAUGAUAAUCUUACAUAUUUGAUAUAUUUGUUCCAUAUUUGUAAGAGCAAAAAAGAAAGUUGUUAAUAACUAUGAGAUAUAUCUUUGUUGAUUCAACAAUGACGAUUACAAAGGUUUGUAACCAAAAUCUAGACUGUUGGUUUGUUGUUGUGGAUCUCCUCUUAUUCUCAUCUUUGAUACAUUGCUCCUCUCUUUUCUUGGAUGAGAGCCCCUCCCCUCCCCUCCUCUUUAUUGCCUUCUCUCCUUUUAUAUAUAUAUAUAUAUAUAUAUAUAUAUAUAUAUAGAGAGAGAGAGAGAGAGACAACCUUCCUUUUUAAUGGUAACCCACUUGUGGUCAGAUUUUUACCCAUACAGUUAGUCCCUCCACUCUUUGGGUCGCCUCUAGGCGAACUCGAUGGGCAGACUCUUUUAAUUCAAAUAUUAGGAGAAAUCUGAACAUUAUGCGAGGAACGAGAUCCUUAUGGCGAGGUAGCGACGUGAAGCUUGAAGGAUUUUGUUUGACCGUUACGUCAGUUUAGAGCUGGACAGUUGCACCAAUUUAUGAUAUCAUAAAUGCCUAUUAUGCAUUAUCAUGGAGCACGUUUCCCAAGCGCGUAUCAUUUUUGUGCCCCUUCGUGUUCUGAUUGGCGGAUUUUGGUUUCCUGCUCAAGGCUUUUAUGAUUGUAUAGAUAAUGAGAAACCCUCUAUUUGGUUGUGGUUCUCUUAAAUUAUUCAAGAACUUUGCAAAUUUCUUUCCCCCUCUAUAGCUUUUCAUUCUCUAGCUUCCGCUAGAACUUACCAUGAUUAUUACCCUUUUUCCUUUUGUCAUUCUUGUUUACUUCGAUCAAAGAAGACAAAUGGCUAGUACUUUUUGCCAUAUUAAUAAAGAUGUUGAAGCUCCGGUGCCAGAAAGUGACGUGUCUCUUCUCGAAGAGGGAGUGGAGGUGGUGGAAGACGAUAGGUUUCCGACGGUGGAUGAGACAGUACCCCGCCCAGGGAAGAUGAGGACCGAUUUUAAUAGCCCUGGCAGAAAUGAACCGGAGCUCGUCCAUUCCACUAUAGAUGAAGCGAAAAUUUUAGCUCUUAAGGCCAAGUGGGGAAUCCCGGUCCAUAUCAAAAUGGUACCGACAAUAGGGAAGGAUAUUGUACAUUUACACCGUCCGGGAUACUGCAUGUUCUACGUGUAUCCAUUUGUUAUCAGGUAUAUGCUCCCUCUUUCCUCUCUGGUGGUGGACUUCUGCCAAUAUUACAAAGUGCACCGGGGUCAACUCUCCCCAUAUACGUACAAACUCUUUCUUAUGCUCAUCAAGUACGCGGAGCUGGCCGGACGAGGAAUUUCCCUGGGGAACAUGCUUUAUAUGUUUGCCCCUCUUUUUCUUCGGGGCACAAUGAUCCAUAUACGCUAUUGAGGAACCAAAGGUUUGGUGGUGAAGAUGGACGACAAUGCAAAUCGUAGCUUUUGGGAAAACUACUUCUAUGUGUGGAUAAAACACCUCAUAGUGAACUCGACAUGAUUUCCAGAAAAGUGGAACUUUGCUCGUAAGUUUUCCUUUGUUUACUUUGUAAUUUUCUUAAGAUGGUCGUCUAUCGUCUUCCUUUAAGAGACAUCGCUGAGUACUUGUUCUGCCUUUGCAGUUGAGAGAUUACUUCCCCCGCUGGUUGCCGACAUCCGCGAGUAGGUGAGUGCAAUUCUCCCCCAUAUGGUGGGAAUUCGCGAGUGGGCGCCCUUCCAUGAGAAGUUUGGGUGCAAGCCUCUUAAUGUGAGUUAGCUUGUAGUUUUAAUUUGUUUCCCUCUUCGUAGUUUUUUAUUAUUUUAAACUUUGUUAUUGUACGAUAUAAUCCCUUCUUUUUGACAGGUCAGGGAGGAAUGAGGAGGACAAGGGCUCCUCUGCUUGCAUUCCGUCAACCGGCGCCCUCUACCCGUCCUGCACCGAGGGCUAGUGCCCUGCUAGCACCAAGAACUAUCGUUCAGCCUGCACAUGCGGCCGAAAAUGUGUGCUUGGAGGUUACUCAAUCGAAGAUUUUGACUCCGCACUCUGUUCCACGAGCAGCUUAAAGCAUGUACCAAUACCUAGUCUACUAGGGAGGAGUUGGAGAAAGGGGGCGAGGACCUGAUGCGGUCUAUCCCCAGAUGCAGUGAGCUUGAGGAAAUUCUUCAUGCCAAGAAUGAAGAGCUUGAGUUGGGAAAUAGGGUUGUCGCGGGAUGUAAGGAUCUUCAAGCGAAGGUGUUGUCUUUGCAAGCCGAACUUGAGCAGAAUGCCACCAGAGUCAAAGCUUUGAAAGCUUAAUGGAUGGGGAAGUUGGUCGAGCCGGAGAAGAAAGUAACCGAGAUGAAAGUGCUGAAAAUGCUCAGGCAUUAGCUUUGGCGAGAGCGGGAGUGCUAAAGGACACUAUUCGCAUCCUCAAAUAUAAUCAGGAAUCUGAAAGAGCAACAACUACGCUGAGGAAGGCACGGCUCAAGGAGCGUAUUGGUGAAAUUGACCAAGAUGCUUCAAGCCUAGGAUCCCGGUUUGUGGCAGUCGAGGCCAAAAGGCACAAUUGUUGAGCCUGGUCGGAUCUGCCUUUGCCGUGGUCCAUAGCGGCUUGUAUGAGCUAUGGGUCCACACCGAGGCCCCACAGGACAUAUUCAAGGGUUUGUAGGAGGCAGGGAGUGUUCUAGAGGCCGCCUUCGAAGAUGCUUGGGUGAAGGCAUGUGAGGCUCGUACCGCCUGUGAUUACAACUGUGCGACGUCGGAGGCUGGUAAUGGUGUUGAUGCCGAAGAUGGGCUCCUUUCUGAGGAUGGUGAGGUUGGGGAGAACGGCGGUGGGGAUGAUGUCGAGUGAAACUUUGUUGCAACCUUUGUACUUAGUUUUUUUGGUUCUUUUGUUGUUUAUUUUCAUCUUUUUCUUUUGAGGGCUUGUUUUGGCCUCUUGUAAGGUGCAACUGUUGCGCAUGUAUAUUUAAACGAAACAGUUUCUUCGCUUUGUUUAUCUUUUGAUUUCUUUUUCUUUCGCUCCAGUCUGUUAUAUUUCUCUUUUUUGCAUAGACCUUCAUAUUUCUCUGUGAUGAGUCCCUGAUAUUUUUAAUUGGGAAACGACCUUGCCUGGAUUGAGUAAGAUCUUAUCAUACGAGUUAGAAUGAAGCCACUUCGGGAUCUGCAAGUUUGGGCGAGGUUGUUUUUUGAUUUAUCAAGUUGGGCGGGAUUAUCCUUAACUCAGACGAGGUCAAAUUGAGACUCGCCAUCUUAGACGAGGUCAGAUUUGACUAAUACAUUCGAGCGAGAUCGAUUCCAUACUUACCAAUUUAGGCAAAAUUAAUUUUUCUAUACGUAUUCGAGCGAGGUCAAACUCGAAGUUGCUAUCUUGGGCGAACGUUUCUCAUACAUUCGAAUGAGGUCGAAUGUGGAGUUUCCGUCUUGGGUGAAGUCAAUUUCUGACUUAUGUUUGAAUGAGGACGAGCUUGGAAUUGCCAUUUUAGGCAAAGACAAUUUUCGUCAUAUAUUCGAAUGAGGUAGGAAUUUUCUUUUAUUUGACGGGGGUCGGUAACUGUAAAGGUGUUAACUCGAACGAAGUCAAAUUAUAACUUAUUUACCUAUGGCCAUUGGCUGUAGCGGUGUUAUUUUGAGCAAGGUCAAAAUUGUAAUCAAGUUGUACGAGCAAGGUCAAACUUCUCUUUUGGGCGAUGGCCGAUAGUCGUAGGGGUGUUAUAUCGAGCAAAGUCAAAAUUGUAACCCGUUGUAAUUCAAAUGAGGUCGAAUUUCUCUUUUGGAAAAGGUCGAUGGCCAUAGGGGUGUUAUUUCAAUCAAGGUUAACAUUGCAACCCAUUGUAAUUCAAGCGAGGUUGAAUUUCUCUUUUGGCGAUGGCUGAUGACCGUAUGGGUGUUAUUUCGAGCAAGGUCAAAAUUGUAACCGUUGUAUUAUUUUUAUUGGAGAACGUUAGUCAUCGCUGUAUUGUUUACACGAGCAUCAAUUGGGGCAAGUCCCGGUUUGCUUAACUUCGCUUUUGUUGGAAAAUACUGUGUUUUUCCUAGGUGAAUCCCAGUUUGCUUAAUUUGCUUUUAUUGGAGAAUACUGUAUUUUUUCCGGGUGAGUCCUUGUUUGCUUAAUUUCCCUUUCAGUGGAUAAUACUGUGCGUUUCCUGUUCUAAACUAACAAGAGAUGGUGGUAAGUUAAUACUAAACGAAAUUGCAUAUUACCUUGACCCGGCAAGUCGGCCAAAAGAGGAACAACGUUGUAAGGUCGCUCGCUUUGCCUCGUACUUGAAUGAUGAUUUCAUAUUUGGCAGUCAACUCCGCACGUUGGGAUAUCGAGACCGAUUCCCGAUCUGACCCCGUCCGAUAUGCACAAACAAUAAGGGAAACAUGUUAGCUUUCUUAAUAAAUCAUCCAGUGCGUGUGGAUAUAAAAAUAGGUCAGGAUAUGCCUGAUGUUCCAAAGGAUCACACAGUAGGUUAUCGUCCCUUCCUAAGGGGUAGGGGUACGGGUCAGUAUAAGGUGAGUAUGUCAAAUAGGGUUGCGGUCAUGCUAGGCGCAUGGUGACCGUGAUCCUACUUUGACCGUGCAUAUGGCAUGUCAAACUCAUCGCUAAAGGUGUGGUAUGGGUUUCACAUAGACAUUGAUAGCAAUUUCUAUUAUAUGCAGCGAUUUGGCCUAGAUUUGUACGGUUGUCUCAAAAGAUUACCUACCAUUCUUUCGGGGUGGUGUUUAUGCCAUGAUGGUAAGGCUAUGAUAGCCUGACAAUGAUACUUGACUGGUUCUAGAUCUAAAGGAAACUAAAAUUUUGGCCAAGAAAUUUUCACAGACGAUGCCAAAUAUUUGACCAAAAAAGUGUUAAAUCUUUUAGUUAAACUAAUUAAUCGAGAAAAGGAAGGUAAAUCUUAGCCAAACAUAAUUAACUCUAGAACCAAACAUAUUAAAUAUGCAAAUUGAAGGAGGCCAAGCCUCUAUAACAUUCCUUAAGAUGAUUAACAGACAUCAAAUGAAAAUGAUAAGCUUACAUCUUUGAUAUAUUUGUUUCGUACUUGUAAGAGCAAAGAAGGAAAAGAUGGCAAGUUGUUGAUAACAAUGAGAUCUAUCUUUGUUGAUUCAACAAUGAUGAUUAGAAAGGGUUGUAACCAAAAUCUGGACGGUUGGUUUGUUAUUAUGGAUCUCUUCUUAUUCUCAUCUUUGAUACAUUGCUCCUCUCUUUUUCUUGGAUAGGAGACCCUCCCCCCUC